RNAcentral lists this transfer RNA (64 nucleotides) under Aphidius colemani. Its description in RNAcentral is "tRNA-Pro". Lineage: Eukaryota; Metazoa; Arthropoda; Insecta; Hymenoptera; Braconidae. The record is from RNAcentral.
CAAAAAAUAGUUUAUUUAAAACAUUAACAUUGGAAGUUAAAAAUAUAUUAAUUUAUUUUUUUGA